This is a non-coding RNA of Anas platyrhynchos (mallard), 3803 nucleotides long. NCBI's taxonomy places the organism in Eukaryota, Metazoa, Chordata, Aves, Anseriformes, Anatidae. The record is from RefSeq and is a predicted model, not a curated record.
GGGGGUGGAGAGAAGGGGUGUUUGGUGUGGAAGCAUGUUAGUAGCGUGUUCUCUGCGUGAUAGGGAGUGGAAGGAAAAGACUUUAAGGAGUAGCUGCACUGCUGAGGACAAGUUUGGGGCUCUGUUUGCUGAAGGUGUUGAAUAAAUCACUAUGAUCUCCAGUCCCAUGGGAGACCACAAUGGAGAAGACAGCCAUGGAAACUUAGACCUGAAUUUAACUCUGGCGACCAGAGCUUUGAGAAUGUGGGCUAUGUAUUACCAAAUCUUUAUCAUUUUGAGAUCUGAGAGUCAGAAGAUACCAGGCACCUUUGAAUAGACAGAGUAGAUGUGUUGUGCCAAAGCUGAGAAGACCUUUCCAGAUCGAUAUCUCCUUGCACCUACAUCUUACAGAACGUGGAUUUCAGAACAUGGUGUCGGGACAUCCCAGGUCUGUGAGGAGAGGGCAGUGGCUGGCAAGGCUGCCCCAUGUUACACAGAUUGACCAAACAUAGCUGAGUGCUGGGCCUGCCUACCUCAAAGGUGACCUUGAGGUUUGUUGAAGAUGCCUCUGGUAAGUUUAAGCAGACAAAUUACUUCAUGUGGUUGCUAGUAUAAUGACAGGCUUAGAACAAGAAAAUGCGGGAGUGCACUUGAAAUGAAUGCUUUGCUCUGGGGAGAAAAGUGCUUUGAACAGUUGUAUGAAGUGUAAAUGACUUGGGGAAUUGGAGGAUCCAUAGGUGACUUGGAGUGUGGUUUUCUGUUGGGAUUUCUGUCAAACCUGUUAAUUUUGUAAUUCUUUUGACUCUUGCUGAAAGCAGCCUGAGAGGGAAAUAGCAACAAUUUUCCAUGAAAUGUGACAUUCUGAAAUAUCAAGUUGUUAGUUGAAACACAUGAUUUGCAUGAAAGGUAUAAUUCCUCUGCCACUUCUCUCAUAAAAUGUCAUAGAAAUUUAAUUGCAAAAGUAUUAGCAGCUAAGAGCUGGAAUCAAAAAUCUUGGGGUGCAGCAGAGGGGGAAGGACGAUUCUUUCUGUAGGCCGUUUACACAAUAUAUAGCACCUUCUGUCUGCAGGUCUGGUUUCUGUCAUAUGAGCCCUGCUAAAACAAAAUCAGCUGUUUCUAUUUGAUCUCUGAACUUCAUUAACUGUUUCCACCAUGACGACUGUGGACGGUACUUUUAGCAGCAUAAAGUGUCUGAGCUCUUAAGUGGUACAAAAAGACAGAAAUGCAGCCAAGAGAUGGAGCAUGCUUUCUGAGAUCUCUUCUGUGGAGGACAUAGCUGGAUCUGACAGGUUCUUUCUUGCAGGUGGUUCCUAUCUAUGUGUGUGCAAAAGACUUAAUUUUUUUGUCUAGUUCUGUCUUAACUUUUUCAUGAAAUAUAGUAAAAAUUAUUUGCUAUAAGCUUAUGUUUAUUCAUUAUACCAGUUUCAGCAAGAAUCAAAUGUCUGAAAAUUCUGAAGUACACAGUAACUGACCCAACUUUACCUACACCCUCUGAAGCUGCUGGUAGCCAAAGAGGAUGUGUGUGGUUAAUGCUUUGCUUGGGUAUAGCUGUGUUGUUGGUUUGGUUAAAACUGUGUGGCAAUACUGUGAGACAGGUAAAACUAGAUGCUUCAGAUUCUCAACUUGUGCUUUGCAUCCAGGAAGACCCAAUGUCUUGCUUAAGCACUGCUUGCAAGCUCUCUGUACUAAGUUGUGGGAUGAGCCUCCAGCAGAACUCUUCAGUGGUUAUAGUGAUGAUCAGUAGGAUCUCAGAGGUAAGGAGUAACUGAUGAGUGUAAAUGUAAAGUGGACUGAUGGCACUGUUGGAAUUGGUACAACUAUGAAGCUUAUUGUACAGAGGUUUGAUUCCAUGGAUUAAGGGAGAAGAGUGUCUAGAAAUGCCCUAGACAUUGCUUAAGGAGACCACCACUUAAAAGAAGGAAAUACGAUUUUUCUUCUGGAGUACUGAUUAACAUAGUAUGGUGGUAGAGUACUAAACAUCAUUUAGCAGCCUUAAUUUGCAAUUUAUAAAGCUUUUUGUUUUGACUUUUUGUGGGGUGGUGAGUACUUGUAAACGGAAAAUCUUGUGCACAUAUAAGAAAAUACAAUCUGCCAAUCAUUGCUGUGUAUGAGAUUAAAAUGCAACUGGUACUGUUGUGAUUCUUAAAUAUCCUACCUUGUUCAGGCACACUCUUGCUGGACUGUCAAUUUAAAAGAAGUUGCUGACACGACUUCUGUUCUGUGUUCUGACAAAAAAAAGUCUUAUGAUUGUUACACUGAACUGUAACUGAAGCUGUCUUGACUGCCUUGGCAGCAGUCCUGAGUGCUGCCUGUUCAUUCCCAAGGGCAGGAGAACUUUUUUUAUGCAGGCACAAAGCAUUUAAAGAGCAGCUGUAAUUCAGGAGAUGGAUGUCUUUUCUGUAUAAACAUCAUUUGCUUCUCUGAAAUGUUAAUGGAUAGCUUCAGGUUUUUCUUUUAAAAUACCCAUGGAACCUGGUGGUUUGACAACUGAAGGCAACUGUGGUUUAGCUUUAGUCUGGGGGAUGCAGCUGAGCAAAUGAAGAUUAGCAAAGACACUAAUUGUCCAUCUUUGAUGUUGGUGUGCUUGCGGCUGUCAGGUGAUUGAGUGCAGCUGCUGUUGGAGAGCAGGGUGGGAGGAAGAGAGCAGAUGGGUACCUUCACUACCUGGCUCAUUCUUCCUUGUGUAUAAGUGAUCAUAGAGCUGAGGAAUGUUGUUCCUCCCUGAUUUCCUCCUCACAUAUUUCCCUUCAAGACUCUCUCUUUCCACCUGAUACCUCAUAAAAACACAUGCUGAAGUCACCAUAUUUUCCCCAAAUAGAAUUCUUACUGUUUUGGCUAGUUCUGUUUAAACAGUUGACACUGGUAUGGGAAAUAACACUUAAUGAGAAGUCUUUCAACGAAAAUAAACAGAUCAGGUAAGGAAAGACUUCGUAAACUCUUCCUAUUUUAAAACAAUAACAACAAAAAAUCUAGAGAAGUAAUUGGUCAACAAAUAGCAAACCAUGGAAUGGCAGUACUGGAAAAUGGUUGCAAGCCAGUUUUAAAACUGUAAUUUGCAUUUGGGUAACAACAAGAAAGCUACUUCUACAAGUAGAUAAAAAGGACAGGUGUGUAAUCACUUCAUAAUGGAAAAAUAAAGCUAGUUCAUAGUGAUUGGGUGAGGACUCUUAUAGUCUCAAAUUUAAUGUUGUGAAUAAUUAAGGCUUAGAAGUUCAGCCAAACAAUGAAAUUUAUUCAGGAUUUAGGAUAUGUACAGGCAUUAUCCAAAUGGAUUGGUAUCAACAGUAUAGCUAUAAGCCAAGUUUUUUUUGUCAAUUUUUAAUAUAUUUUAAUAUAAAUACGGAAUUAGCUGCUUCUGUUUUCCACUUAAUAAGGGAAUUCUGUCUAUAAAUGUAUGCAGUCGAAUCCUUUCUCUCCUUGCUCCAAAAGCACACACGAUAUUCUCGUUUUAUUUCUUCAAGAUCACAGCAUAUUGCUCAAUACCAGUAAAUAUGCAAAACUUCAGGUGUCAGAAAGACACUGAUUUUUGUAUUGCAUGUCCAUGACAAGACAGCUGUGUUACAGGGUCUCACUGAGUAUUUCACUAAACUUCUUGAAGAAUUAUGUCCUUAGCAUUUUAUGUGGUUCAAUUUGCUCAGUCACUCUAAUUUCUUGAGAAAAUGAUGCUCUGACUAAUUCCUUUUGUUUUUCCUCGAGGUUUUACGAGUAAUUUAACAUCUUGUAAAGAUUAAUGCCUCAGAAAUGUCAUUUUGUUCCAUGGUCAAAUCCAAUAACUGUUUUCAUUUUGCAGCAAGAAUAAAUUAGUGAAUUUUAAUGUAGUAAUC